Long non-coding RNA from Galeopterus variegatus (Sunda flying lemur), 343 nucleotides. RefSeq lists it as uncharacterized. NCBI's taxonomy places the organism in Eukaryota, Metazoa, Chordata, Mammalia, Dermoptera, Cynocephalidae. The record is from RefSeq and is a predicted model, not a curated record. The transcript is spliced from 4 exons.
AGGCGAUAAUACACAUUGUGUAUAGUUUUUUGAGUGCUUUGGAGUCUACCCCUGGAGGAAGAAGCAGCUGCUUUUACCUGCUAUCUAGUUUUAAAAAUGGUUUGGCCAUCUUCUAAAGAGUUUGAACCUACUGAAGAACUAUCUUGACUAUCUUGAUGGGGGAGUUGUAGAAAUCCUUCACUGGAGUCUGAGCGGAUUCAUUUUCAUUUUCUAAAGAAGACUGUUGGAUUAGGAGCUGUGCAUUCUGGUUCAUAAGUGAGCAUAAUUGAAGUAUGGUUGCAUAUCCCCGAAAUAUUACAUUACAACCUGAAGCUUGGCAUUCUGUGUUUGAAGAGUGGUGUUC